ACUGCGCACGCGCGGCUGGUGAGUGGCGGGUUCAGGCGCAGCUGUGGGGUUGGCUGCGCGCGGCCGAGGGGUUUUGGACUGGGUUAGGUGCCUUUCGUGUGUUUGUUUCUCACCGUUUUUCCAGGGCGGUAGUGGUGGAAGAGUUUAGUUAGCGGUGGCUGGCGGAUGCCUGAGGGAAGGCGCUGGCGCUGGCCUGAGAAUGGGUCCCGGUUGCUGGUUGGGCGCGGUCGGGCCUCGUGUCCAGGUCGCUGGAAGGAGCCGCGUCCUGGGCCGCGCACGUUGGCUUCCGGGCCUCAGGCAGCCUUGGUGCUGAGGGGAACGUGAACCCCUAGGCUGCGGCAGCGCGUGGAGGCCUUCCUUCCGAGUAGAAACAGGACUCGGCCUGCGGUCCUUUCCAUCUUUGCUCUCAGAAGUUCGCGGAUGGAGUUUGCUAAAUACCCGACCAGGCUUGACUGUCCGCUGCUGGAGGGCGGGCACCCGCGGCGCCUGUCGCCGGGGCUUCUGAGGCGGGUCCCCUGCCGGGAGCGGGGGCUGCGAGGUGGAAUAGACUAGGACGAGGGCGGCUUUACUGCGAAACGGCUUCACGGCUGCUGCCUUGACUCGGAAGCCAGUAGCUUCGGAGGUGCAGAAGCAGCGCGGGGACGAGCCCGGAGGGGCCACGUGGCUAACCGGAAGGCCUUCCUGAUGGGGUUGUGAUUACACGCGGUGUCCGUCACCACGUCGCACUGCACACCUACGACCUGCAUUUCACUGUUAUAAACAACUUGUGAAAUGAGUGAUUUGGAAGAUGACGAGACACCCCAGCUUUCUGCCCACGCCUUAGCAGCUCUCCAGGAAUUUUAUGCUGAGCAAAAACAACAAAUUGACCUAGGCGAGGAUGAUAAAUAUAACAUUGGAAUAAUAGAAGAGAAUUGGCAGUUGAGCCAGUUUUGGUAUAGUCAGGAAACUGCUCUGCGACUUGCACAGGAGGCAAUUGCAGCUGUAGGAGAAGAUGGCAGAAUCGCAUGUGUGAGUGCCCCUAGUGUUUACCAGAAACUCAGAGAGCUGUGCAGAGAAAACUUUACUAUAUAUAUCUUUGAAUAUGACAAAAGAUUUGCCGUGUAUGGAGAGGAGUUUAUUUUCUAUGAUUACAAUAAUCCAUUGGACUUACCCGAAAGAAUUGCUGCACAUAGUUUUGACAUCGUAAUAGCAGAUCCUCCCUAUCUUUCGGAGGAAUGUCUCAGAAAAACAUCAGAAACCAUCAAGUACCUGACACGGGGCAAGAUUCUUCUGUGCACAGGUGCCAUCAUGGAAGAACAGGCAGCAGAACUCCUUGGAGUGAAGAUGUGCACAUUUGUUCCAAAACACACCCGGAACUUGGCAAAUGAGUUUCGCUGUUAUGUGAAUUAUGAUUCUGGGCUGGACUGUGGGAUCUAAUUACAGAUGGUGACAUAACACAGGAAGGAACUCUGUCACAUUCCCCUUUUUGUAUUUUCCUAGUAGAUUUAAAAUAUAUAAUCUCUUCCCCUCCCCUCAAACUGGAGCCAACCCUGGCCUGAUUUUCAAAAUAAAGUACAUGACCUUCAUUAUUGUUUCCUUAGGGAGGGCCUCCCUAGAGCUCAGUCUGCUGCCAACCUGAAUCCAGGGAAUUCGAGUUGGAAGAAACCUUAGAACCUGCCUGAUCUACUCUCCUAACAUAGGUAAAAACAGCAGAACAGUUGCGUGGCUUGCCCAAGGGCUCCUGAAUGAGACAGGACCUUGGCCUCUGCCUUGGGCCAGAGCAGUCUGGUAGCAUCCUAGAGCUUGUGAGGACCCCCACCCCCGUGUCCCACCCCAGCCCUCCCAGGACACAGACUUGCCUCCAUGAAAAAAGGCAAUAAUCCAAUAACUAGCAUCUGAAUGCCUCUUGGAGCUCUCCUCCUCCAGGUUCUAGGUGGGCUGCGAGGGAUGACAGGUGCCCAGGUGCCCUCCCCACGUGAGUCACACUCAGCACCCUACCUCUGAACUGCCUGAGAAAAUGAAAGACCCAUUUGUAAACCAAACACCAGGACCAAAAAAAGGGAGCUGGGACGAGAGUGCUAGAUUCUCACUGUUCAGAAAAUACUUCUCUCUGCAUACCCCGGAGGACGUCUCAGCAAUCAGAAGUGAACACGCAGCAUGGCUGGGUCUCAAGGGCGCGAUGCUGAUGAAAGAGCUGCGCUGCAGAGGCCCCACACUGGAUGCUUCUAGAACAAGUAUAUAAUUGAAAUACUGUCACUUGGAAACGAUCUUCAGGAACCAGCAAAGCACCUCCAUUCCGAAGGCUGCCACAGAAUCCUCCAGUGGGAGCUGGAAGUCUCUGAGUGACCCAUUCAUCUGGAUCAGACUAAGGCUGCCAGUUGGUCUUUCUGUGGUAGCUGAAGUUUGGGAGUGAAACGCAUGUGAAUAAAGGACACUUCCUGGUUUUGGGGUGUCACAAAGAUCCAAGACAUUGGCCUUACCUGACUAGUUGAUCUAAGACCAAAUCAAAUCUCGAUGAAUUUAAACCUCAAGAUAAAGUGAAGACCUUAGGUAACACAUGAUUUCCUCUAACAAUUAGUCUGGCCCAUCAAGCAGAAUUGAGAGAAAUACACACGGCCAGUGUAUCCUUUAGCGAGACUCUUUUAAUGACUUAAAAAGAACUUCUACCUUUUACAAUUGUGUUCAGAGACAGACUUUCAAUCUAAAGAAAAGAGCAAGGACCUAGCUCUGGUGGCAGAAUCUAGAAACAAGCCCCCAGAGUGAUCUCUGCAGGUUCUAAUGUGGCCCACUUUGUCCUCAUAUUCGGCCUGAUCCUAAAGCUCUUACAACUAAGCCAAUACCUGCUUGGAUUCUUCCUGACAACCGGCAAAGAUGUCACAUUCCACUUCUUAUCUCACCACCUCUUAGCCACAAAUUGGCCCCCACGGCUUUCAAAAGGGAAAAAAAAACUGUACGAGUUUGAGACUGUUUCUGUACUCAUGACUCAUAACACCAAAUCUGAGAUCUCUGGAACUCUUUAGCUGGCCCUGGCGCAUGCGAGCCACCUGUGCAUCCCUUUGUCCACCUGGAGGCCGGUGAAGACCUUCAGAGGAAGGAAGAGUGCGUCAGAUCAGACGUGUCCAUUUCAUCAGUCAGCCAUCGGUGACAGGCUGAAUUCAGAGACCCAGGCCAGAGUGCGCCUGCUAAAAAAUUUAUCCAAGGAUUCCAACUAUGCUAAAAAACAAAA
RNA transcript from Piliocolobus tephrosceles (Ugandan red Colobus), 3205 nucleotides. It is a transcript of the gene named EEF1A lysine methyltransferase 1, with no coding region annotated. The transcript has 7 exons. NCBI's taxonomy places the organism in Eukaryota, Metazoa, Chordata, Mammalia, Primates, Cercopithecidae. The record is from RefSeq and is a predicted model, not a curated record.